AUUGAACGCUGGCGGCAGGCCUAACACAUGCAAGUCGAACGAGUGGCGGACGGGUGAGUAAUGGCUGGGAAACUGCCUGAUGGAGGGGGAUAACUACUGGAAACGGUAGAUAAUACCGCAUACCAUCAGAUGUGCCCAGAUGGGAUUAGCUUGUUGGUGGGGUAAAGGCUCACCAAGGCGACGCUCCCUAGCUGGUCUGAGAGGAUGACCAGCAACAUUGGAACUGAGAAACGGUCCAGACUCCUCCGGUGGGCAGAAGAGGGGAAUAUUGCACAAGGGGCGCAAGCCGGAUGCAGCCAUGCCGCGUGUAUGAAGAAGGCUUUCGGGUUGUAAAGUACUUUCAGCGGGGAGGCGUUACCCGCAGAAGAAGCACCGGCUAACUCCGUGCCAGCCGCCGCGGUAAUUC
Molecule: ribosomal RNA, 406 nt
Filed under: uncultured bacterium
Lineage: Bacteria
Description: partial 16S ribosomal RNA
Rfam family: Bacterial small subunit ribosomal RNA
Source: RNAcentral